AACCGUAAGCCAGCUCGUUUGUCUGCUCGAAGGUUAGUGCCCCACCACUCCCAAAAGAAACAUAAACCACUGACUCUUUGGGUUGUAAGUCAAGCCAGUCCAGCACGCCAUGUUUCAAACCUGGUUCUGCUGGUCUAACCAGCGGUCCAACAGGAUAAACCGGCACUCCUCUCAUAACCCGACCGAGAUUCUCUGGAUCCAAGAAAGACCCGAUGGUCACUUGCUCCAGACUGUGCCACGUAUUCACAAACACCCCAUCUGCGGUUAUCACCUCAUCCCCAAUACGCUGAGACUCAGCGAGUUCCCGAAUAUAUUUUCUCGGAUCUUGAGCCCGCUCAAACUUAACCGGGCUGCAUCCGGGUAUAAGCAAUGCUCCUAUGCUACUCAACUGCUUAUACAACUCCUGUUUGUCAAGACUCGCCAUAUAAACCGUAAAAGCUAGAAACCAAGCACUGGUAGUAACCAGAACAUGUUUUCUCAUGAUCCCAAGCUCCUUAGCCACCUCUAAAGCUUCCGUGCCCAACAAGUCAACUACGAAAACCCUAGGCCGCGGUUCUAACUCCAUGACUGAAGACUUGAUCUCUGGUAAUGCCUUCCUCAUCAUCUCUGCUAGUUUAGUC
Arabidopsis thaliana (thale cress) is the source of this 620-nucleotide long non-coding RNA. RefSeq annotates it as other RNA. The record is from RefSeq. The transcript has a single exon. Lineage: Eukaryota; Viridiplantae; Streptophyta; Magnoliopsida; Brassicales; Brassicaceae.